This 1332-nucleotide ribosomal RNA is filed under the name uncultured bacterium. Its description in RNAcentral is "bacterial SSU rRNA". It matches the Rfam family "Bacterial small subunit ribosomal RNA", at positions 8 to 1361 of the family's 1533-position model. The record is from RNAcentral.
AGAGUUUGAUCCUGGCUCAGGAUGAACGUUGGCGGUGUGCCUAAUACAUGCAAGUCGAACGGUGACGAUUUUGUAGCAAUACGAAUGAAAUCAUAGUGGCGAACGGGUGAGUAACGCGUUGGUGAUCUGCCUCGAAGUGUGGAAUAACUUCCCGAAAGGGUAGCUAAUACCGCAUAGUCUCUCAAGGUUUAGAAAAUUGAGAGUAAAGGAUUUAUUCGCUUCGAGAGGAGCCCUGCGUCCCAUCAGCUAGUUGGUAGGGUAAUAGCCUACCAAGGCAAUGACGGGUAGGGGACCUGAGAGGGUGGCCCCCCACAAUGGAACUGAAACACGGUCCAUACACCUACGGGUGGCAGCAGUAGGGAAUAUUAGAAAUGGGCGAAAGCCUGAUCUAGCAACACCGCGUGUGCGAUGAAGGCCUUCGGGUUGUAAAGCACUUUUUGGAGGGAAUAGGAAGGAAGGUACCUCCAGAAUAAGUCUCGGCUAACUGCGUGCCAGCAGCCGCGGUAACACGUAGGAGGCAAACGUUAUCCGGAUUCACUGGGCGUAAAGCGCGUGUAGGUGGUUCUGUAAGUAGGGCGUGAAAGCUCCCGGCUCAACUGGGAGAGGCCGUACUAAACUGCAGAGCUAGAGGAUGGUAGAGGGAGGUGGAAUUCCAGGUGUAGUGGUGAAAUGCGCAGAUAUCUGGAGGAACACCAGUGGCGAAGGCGGCCUCCUGGACCAUUCCUGACACUCAGACGCGAAAGCUAGGGUAGCAAACGGAAUUAGAGACUCCGGUAGUCCUAGCCCUAAACGAUGCAGACUAGGCAUCGGCGGUUUAAUCACCGUCGGUGUCCAAGCUAACGCGAUAAGUCUGCCGCCUGAGGAGUACGGCCGCAAGGCUAAAACUCAAAGGAAUUGACGGGUCCCCGCACAAGCAGCGGAGCGUGUGGUUUAAUUCGAUGCUCCGCGAAGAACCUUACCUGGGUUUGACAUAACAGUGGUAGAGAAGAGAAAACGGAUCGACCCUUCGGGGAGGUGUUACAGGUGUUGCAUGCCUGUCGUCAGCUCGUGUCGUGAGAUGUUCGGUUAAGUCCGCUAACGAGCGCAACCCGCGCUGUGUGUUACAAGUGUCACACAGUACCGCCGGUAUUAAGUCGGAGGAAGGUGCGGAUGACGUCAAGUCAGCAUGACCUUUAUAUCCAGGGCUACACACACGCUACAAUGGUCAGAACAAUAGGUUGCCAAGCCGCAAGGCGGAGCCAAUCCUCCAAAUCUGGCCUCAGUUCAGAUUGCAGGCUGCAACUCGCCUGCAUGAAGUCGGAGUUGCUAGUAACCGCAGGUCAGCAUACUGCG